This 301-nucleotide ribosomal RNA is filed under the name uncultured bacterium. Its description in RNAcentral is "partial 16S ribosomal RNA". It matches the Rfam family "Bacterial small subunit ribosomal RNA", at positions 509 to 808 of the family's 1533-position model. The record is from RNAcentral.
CAGUAGCCCGGGAAUACGAAGGGGGCUAACGUUGCUCGGAAUGACUGGGCGUAAAGGGCGCGUAGGCGGCGAUCAAAGUCAGGCGUGAAAUUCCUGGGCUCAACCUGGGGGCUGCGCUUGAUACUUGGUUGCUUGAGUGGGGAAGAGGGUCGUGGAAUUCCCAGUGUAGAGGUGAAAUUCGUAGAUAUUGGGAAGAACACCGGUGGCGAAGGCGGCGACCUGGUCCUUGACUGACGCUGAGGCGCGAAAGCGUGGGGAGCAAACAGGAUUAGAUACCCCAGUAGUCCCUGUCUCUUAUACC